GAUGAAGAACGUAGCGAAAUGCGAUACGUAAUGUGAAUUGCAGAAUUCAGUGAAUCAUCGAGUCUUUGAACACACAUUGCGCCCCCUGGUAUUCCGGGGGGCAUGCCUGUCCGAGCGUCAUUGCUGCCCUCAAGCACGGCUUGUGUGUUGGGCCUCCGUCCUCCUCCCGGGGGACGGGCCCGAAAGGCAGCGGCGGCACCGCGUCCGGUCCUCGAGCGUAUGGGGCUUCGUCACCCGCUCUUGUAGGCCCGGCCGGCGCUUGCCGACACAUCAAUCUUUUUUCCAGGUUGACCUCGGAUCAGGUAGGGAUACCCGCUGAACUUAAGCAUAUCAAUAAGCGGAGGA
Molecule: unclassified non-coding RNA, 345 nt
Filed under: soil metagenome
Description: partial contains 5.8S ribosomal RNA, internal transcribed spacer 2, and large subunit ribosomal RNA
Rfam family: 5.8S ribosomal RNA (bases 1-120)
Source: RNAcentral